UGCGGGGGGAGCAAGCGUUGUUCGGAUUUACUGGGCGUAAAGGGCGCGUAGGCGGUAGCACAAGUCAGUUGUGAAAUCUCCGGGCUUAACUCGGAAAGGUCAACUGAUACUGUGCGACUAGAGUGCAGAAGGGGCAACUGGAAUUCUCGGUGUAGCGGUGAAAUGCGUAGAUAUCGAGAGGAACACCUGCGGCGAAGGCGGGUUGCUGGGCUGACACUGACGCUGAGGCGCGAAAGCCAGGGGAGCGAACGGG
RNAcentral lists this ribosomal RNA (253 nucleotides) under uncultured bacterium. Its description in RNAcentral is "partial 16S ribosomal RNA". It matches the Rfam family "Bacterial small subunit ribosomal RNA", at positions 524 to 776 of the family's 1533-position model. The record is from RNAcentral.